Molecule: ribosomal RNA, 639 nt
Filed under: uncultured Actinomycetes bacterium
Lineage: Bacteria; Bacillati; Actinomycetota; Actinomycetes
Description: bacterial SSU rRNA
Rfam family: Bacterial small subunit ribosomal RNA
Source: RNAcentral
CGCGGCCUAUCAGCUUGUUGGUGAGGUAACGGCUCACCAAGGCAUCGACGGGUAGCUGGUCUGAGAGGAUGAUCAGCCACACUGGGACUGAGACACGGCCCAGACUCCUACGGGAGGCAGUAGUAGGGAAUAUUGCACAAUGGGCGAAAGCCUGAUGCAGCAACGCCGCGUGGGGGAUGAAUGCCUUCGGGUUGUAAACCCCUUUCAGCAGGGACGAAAAUGACGGUACCUGCAGAAGAAGCUCCGGCCAACUACGUGCCAGCAGCCGCGGUAAUACGUAGGGAGCGAGCGUUGUCCGGAAUUAUUGGGCGUAAAGAGCUCGUAGGCGGUUCAGUAAGUCGGGUGUGAAAACUCAAGGCUCAACCUUGAGACGCCACUCGAUACUGCUGUGACUUGAGUCCGGUAGAGGAGUGUGGAAUUCCUGGUGUAGCGGUGAAAUGCGCAGAUAUCAGGAGGAACACCAGCGGCGAAGGCGGCACUCUGGGCCGGUACUGACGCUGAGGAGCGAAAGCAUGGGGAGCAAACAGGAUUAGAUACCCUGGUAGUCCAUGCCGUAAACGUUGGGCACUAGGUAUGGGAUCAUAUCAACGGAUUCCGUGCCGUAGCUAACGCAUUAAGUGCCCCGCCUGGGGAGUACGG